RNAcentral lists this ribosomal RNA (422 nucleotides) under uncultured bacterium. RNAcentral's name for it is "bacterial SSU rRNA". It matches the Rfam family "Bacterial small subunit ribosomal RNA", at positions 356 to 775 of the family's 1533-position model. The record is from RNAcentral.
GAGGAAUAUUGGUCAAUGGGCGCAAGCCUGAACCAGCCAUCCCGCGUGCAGGAAGACGGCCCUAUGGGUUGUAAACUGCUUUUCCAGGGGGAGAAUUUUUCUGUCGUGACAGGAAUUGACGGUACCCUGGGAAUAAGCAUCGGCUAACUCCGUGCCAGCAGCCGCGGUAAUACGGAGGAUGCGAGCGUUAUCCGGAUUUAUUGGGUUUAAAGGGUGCGUAGGCGGAUUGAUAAGUCUGUGGUGAAAACCUGCAGCUUAACUGUAGACUUGCCGUUGAUACUGUCAGUCUUGAGUGUGGUCAAGGUAGGCGGAAUGUGUAAUGUAGCGGUGAAAUGCUUAGAUAUUACACAGAACACCGAUUGCGAAGGCAGCUUGCUGGGCCAUUACUGACGCUGAGGUACGAAAGCGUGGGUAGCAAACAG